RNAcentral lists this small RNA (600 nucleotides) under Pan troglodytes (chimpanzee). RNAcentral describes it as "retained intron". The record is from RNAcentral. Lineage: Eukaryota; Metazoa; Chordata; Mammalia; Primates; Hominidae.
AGACCGGGAAAGCCGUUUCACACCCGUCCUAGUCGAAGUCGAGAUUUCCUUUGGCUUCAAAGCUCUCUCACCAUAUUUUGGGAAGUUAUGGAUCAUCACAUUCCCAUGCAUGCUUUGCCUGAAGAAAUCCAAAAGAAUUUAUGAUGUAGGCAUGCAGUUAAAAAGUCAACAAAAUGAAUUUCAGAAAGUAAAGAAACAAUUGAGUCAUUUGCAAGAUGAGCUAAAAAUUAAAUAUAGACAAUCAUACAUCUUCAGGUAAGAUUAAAGAACUGAAAAUUAUAAAGAUUGAAAAGAUAUGCUUAAUACUAACUUUGUAAAUAGCCAAACACAUUUUAGUAAUAUGGUUUCUAUAUCUGGUGUGAUUGAGAAAAGUGAAACAGCAUUAGGUUUUCUUUUUUCUUUUUUAAACCAUUAUCUCAAUGAAUAGUGUUGCUAAUUAAAUUUAAAUUAGGCAUAUACCUUAUUCUAUUAGUGCCUUGUUACUGUUCUUAUUUUGUGGUGGCAUUUAGAAUGAAAGCACGGUAACUAAUUUCCCUCUUCACCAAUAUUUCCUUGUGUAUUUGAUCCUCUGAGUGAUAGUCCAGUGACAAGAAAAGUAAU